RNAcentral lists this unclassified non-coding RNA (215 nucleotides) under soil metagenome. Its description in RNAcentral is "partial contains 5.8S ribosomal RNA, internal transcribed spacer 2, and large subunit ribosomal RNA". The record is from RNAcentral.
AACAAGGCGUACCUGCGGACCUGCGGAGGGAUCAUUACAGAGUUCAUGCCCUCACGGGUAGAUCUCCCACCCUUGAAUACUAUACCUUUGUUGCUUUGGCGGGCCGCUUUGGCUACUGGCUCUGGCUAGUAAGUGCCCGCCAAAGAACCCCAAAACUCUGAAUAUUAGUGUCGUCUGAGUACUAUAUAAUAGUUAAAACUUUCAACAAUGGAUCU